AGAUUCUCCUCUUUUCGAAUCUUUCACGGUGCCAGAGCUGUCUCUGUGGAUUACAAUCCCACGGGCUUCACGGGACAUUACGUGCGGCAAUGACGCUUAAGAAAAAUACGUAUCUGCACGACGGUCAAGUCAUCCUAGAUUAAUACAACGUGACUUUAGCUACUAGCAACGAAAAUCAGUAAGGAAGAAUAUUAAGAGUGCGCCUCGUUUUCUAUCGACACUCGUAAUUCGAUCGUUCGCCGCAUGAUACGACGUGGCGCCCAUAAAUCCCCCUAUGGAUUUUAAUUAAAGGCCCCACGGGGCCCCUCAAGAGCCCUACUAUAACUUCGGCCCUGCUGAAGGAGGUACAGGACUAACCAUAGCUUGUGUGCUUCCAUAUGUAUACAUAGCACGCUGCCGCUGUAUUAGCCGCCCUAAUGAACUCGUGCGUCGCUCGCCCAAGUCGACGCUUUAUAUUAUUUAUCGCCUGUACGCGAGUUAUUUCUACUUGCUUCACUCGCCUUGGAGCAACCCUCGUUACGGUCUGACUAGACAUGAAAUAAUUGAUCUUCAUAUGUAUACUGUAGACUUUGUAUACAUAUAAUAUAUAUACGUAUACAUAAUAUAGUGAAAGAAAAUAAGGCACCGAACACUUUGGAAUCGCUGGAACUCAGUCAGCUAGGAUGAAUUCUGCGUUGAAGGACUUUGAGAUCUUUGUUCUCGGCAAGAAGAAGAAAUCAAGGAGACGCAAGAAGAUCCUGGCUCGUGGAUUCUGUAGGAGCGAUUCCCUGCGACAUUCCGAGCAAAGUCAGCGACGUGUCUUCGGCUUCCACGCAUUUAUUAGCCGCUUGAAUCCUCCCUGUAAAAACUGGACUCUGAUCGAACUGGACUUCACGUAUGCGAAUACGUGGCGAAGUGAGCUCGAGGCACAAGACGUUCCCUAGUAAUUUACUCAUGGAUUCCUCGAUUCAUAGUAAUACCUAAUACGUUUAGGGGUAUACUUAAUCUUUUGGUCUUAAAUUUUAAUAGACGUUUUAUGGGAAUCUUGAUUGAUACGAAUACUGGUCGAAAGCUUUUACUACCUCCCGCGACGUGGAUAUUCACGUGAGGUUAUGUUAUAUACCUUUUAUGUACAACAUAAAGGCACAUACGCAAUGCAGUGUAAAGGCGGUUACGUACACGGGCGAAUUCCGUCUCAUAAGAAGCCAUCCAAUUCCUGUUCCCAUCUUCGAGAAGCGGCAGCUGAACAUCUCAUUGUUGCCAGCGGGAACAUCUGAGAAGAGAAUAACGUAGUGGAAACGAAAUGGAGUUCACGAACGGGGAACGAAGUGGAUAGGGACUGGCUGGGGACGUAUCAAAAACUUGUCCCCGUGUUUUUCGUGAGGAACUAGGGAGUGGGUAAAAUGGCGAUGUACGUUGUAGGAUAGGAUAAAAAUGAAAGCGGAAUUUUUGAAGGCAUACGAUGAAAAACUUGAAAAUCCACAGUGGCAUCGUGCGUCGAUGAAAUCCUAUUAUUUUUAUUAUUUUCAUUCUGUGCUUUUUUCUCCGUACCUGUGCGCUCUCAAUUUUGUCUUCAGACAAUGCUUAAUACUCGGAAUCGUUUGAAGAUCAGAAGCCGACCUCGAGAAUCCUUUAACGCACGAAGCUUAAAUCCGUUCUCUAUUAUUAUACUAUUCUUUGUCUUUCUUUUCUCCCUUUUUUUUCUUGCUCUUCCGCAUUUUCGUCUCGACCUAUCGCUAGAGACUGCUACGUAAUUAAGGCGUAUAUCGUAUUACCCCCUAGUCUUAUGUGUUGGUGUGCGCGUGCACCGUUGCAUAACUCAGCAACAUAACCUAAGAAUCUCUUUCGAUUUAACUACUGAACAAAAUGGGAGCUUGGUAGUGCUAGGGAUUUUUUUUAGAGUAUAGGGACUUUAUAUCUACCAGCUCCUCGUGCCAGUCUCGCAAUUAGUUCCAGAUUCUGAUUCCAAGGAAUUUCCUUUGAUCCAUGUAUAGCCAAGGACCCAACAAUACUCCAGGUAUACGCAUCCUGGGCUUUACUCUUUGUGGACGAUCCUCCUAACGUAUUACGUCCAAGCAUAUAUACUAAAUACCGCAAAUCCUUUAUCAGGUCAUUCAGGAAUCACUGGAGCGAAAAAUAAAAAUUCACUAUACCCACAAAAGAAUCUUUAGGUAUAUUUUAACGUUGCUUAUGGAUAUUUGAACUGUCUAUUGAAAUAUUUUAAGAUCGACUUCCACGUGGGAAACGAUUAGCGAUAAUUUUUUUGUAUUAUUAUCUAAUGUGUUAUACGUUUAAGUAUUUAUAGUGCAAAACGCAAAAACCACCAGGGCACGGUAACGUUCGAAGUCUCAGUUAAGUGGAGUCGCCGUUUCGCUGUGAAAUCGAGAGUAAAAAAUUCGCAUCUUCCUCAUCCGGUUGCCAUGCCAGAGUGCGGCACAUGCGCGGCUAAUUACGGUCCUCUUUGAUGAGCCGACAGAGACUCUUCGUGUUGCACCAGCCGUCAGUGCAGUUGCAGCUGCACAUGAAGCAUAACGUGUUCACCAAGAGGCGGCAUUAUUUUAGAUAGACUUGAACUUUUGAAAAAUAUUACACGAAGUUACAAGCGUUUUGAAGAAGACGUUAAUUAUAUUUUUAAUUACUUAAAAAAUUCGCUAACGACUUUUCAUAAUUAUUUUCAAAUUAUUAUCCAACGAUUAUUUAAUUGCUAGCGCGUUACGCGUUGUGCCUUUAUGUAUGUCUAGUAAAGGAAGAGGCUUCAGGCCCUUUCGAGGGACUUACGAAUCGGUGCACGAAGACACCGCUUUUGGGACCAAUUCAUUAAAGCCGCCCAGGGCGGCGAAUGAUUGCUUAUAGCCUAUAUUUCAAGGGGAGCAUUAAAUCCAUGUUAUUAGGGGUUAUUACCGAGUAAUGAGAGACCGUCGCUCCAUUUACGUAUCUGCCUGCCUUCUACUCGUCUGCAGGAAAACACGUCAUUUCCCAUAGCAGAUUUCUGUUUAGGAUAAAAUAUAAAUUAUCAUCAACAUUUAAUAUAGUAUUUAUUAUAUAUUUUUAAACAAAAAAUAUGUACAGAGUCGAUGUAAAAUUAUUUUUUUUAAGAAAAAAAAUUUUGAA
Long non-coding RNA from Cephus cinctus (wheat stem sawfly), 3090 nucleotides. RefSeq lists it as uncharacterized. The record is from RefSeq and is a predicted model, not a curated record. NCBI's taxonomy places the organism in Eukaryota, Metazoa, Arthropoda, Insecta, Hymenoptera, Cephidae. The transcript is spliced from 5 exons.